Molecule: ribosomal RNA, 497 nt
Filed under: uncultured bacterium
Lineage: Bacteria
Description: partial 16S ribosomal RNA
Rfam family: Bacterial small subunit ribosomal RNA
Source: RNAcentral
GAUGAACGCUGGCGGCGUGCCUAAUACAUGCAAGUCGAGCGAACAGACGAGGAGCUUGCUCCUCUGACGUUAGCGGCGGACGGGUGAGUAACACGUGGAUAACCUACCUAUAAGACUGGGAUAACUUCGGGAAACCGGAGCUAAUACCGGAUAAUAUAUUGAACCGCAUGGUUCAAUAGUGAAAGACGGUUUUGCUGUCACUUAUAGAUGGAUCCGCGCCGCAUUAGCUAGUUGGUAAGGUAACGGCUUACCAAGGCAACGAUGCGUAGCCGACCUGAGAGGGGGAUCGGCCACACUGGAACUGAGACACGGUCCAGACUCCUAAGGGAGGCAGCAGUAGGGAAUCUUCCGCAAAGGGCGAAAGCCUGACGGAGCAACGCCGCGUGAGUGAUGAAGGUCUUCGGAUCGUAAAACUCUGUUAUUAGGGAAGAACAAAUGUGUAAGUAACUAUGCACGUCUUGACGGUACCUAAUCAGAAAGCCACGGCUAACUACGUG